This 550-nucleotide ribosomal RNA is filed under the name Microbacterium oleivorans. RNAcentral's name for it is "bacterial SSU rRNA". It matches the Rfam family "Bacterial small subunit ribosomal RNA", at positions 109 to 672 of the family's 1533-position model. The record is from RNAcentral. Lineage: Bacteria; Bacillati; Actinomycetota; Actinomycetes; Micrococcales; Microbacteriaceae.
AGUAACACGUGAGCAACCUGCCCCUGACUCUGGGAUAAGCGCUGGAAACGGCGUCUAAUACCGGAUAUGAGCUGCGAUCGCAUGGUCAGCAGUUGGAAAGAUUUUUCGGUCUGGGAUGGGCUCACGGCCUAUCAGCUUGUUGGUGAGGUAAUGGCUCACCAAGGCGUCGACGGGUAGCCGGCCUGAGAGGGUGACCGGCCACACUGGGACUGAGACACGGCCCAGACUCCUACGGGAGGCAGCAGUGGGGAAUAUUGCACAAUGGGCGAAAGCCUGAUGCAGCAACGCCGCGUGAGGGAUGACGGCCUUCGGGUUGUAAACCUCUUUUAGCAGGGAAGAAGCGAAAGUGACGGUACCUGCAGAAAAAGCGCCGGCUAACUACGUGCCAGCAGCCGCGGUAAUACGUAGGGCGCAAGCGUUAUCCGGAAUUAUUGGGCGUAAAGAGCUCGUAGGCGGUUUGUCGCGUCUGCUGUGAAAUCCCGAGGCUCAACCUCGGGUCUGCAGUGGGUACGGGCAGACUAGAGUGCGGUAGGGGAGAUUGGAAUUCCUG